CAAAUGGAGAGUUUGAUCCUGGCUCAGGAUGAACGCUGGCGGCAUGCCUAAUACAUGCAAGUCGAACGGGAUAUCUUCGGAUAUCCAGUGGCGAACGGGUGAGUAACACGUAGGUAACCUGCCCAUGUGCUCGGGAUAACGCCUGGAAACGGGUGCUAAAACCGGAUAGGUAUCGCUUCUGCAUGGAAGAGAUAUUAAAGGAGCUGCAAGGCUCUGAACAUGGAUGGACCUGCGGUGCAUUAGCUGGUUGGUGAGGUA
RNAcentral lists this ribosomal RNA (258 nucleotides) under Floccifex porci. Its description in RNAcentral is "Erysipelotrichaceae bacterium LKV-178-WT-2G partial 16S ribosomal RNA". It matches the Rfam family "Bacterial small subunit ribosomal RNA", at positions 1 to 259 of the family's 1533-position model. Lineage: Bacteria; Bacillati; Bacillota; Erysipelotrichia; Erysipelotrichales; Erysipelotrichaceae. The record is from RNAcentral.